AAAUGAAUAGACGGGGGCCCGCACAAGCGGUGGAGCAUGUGGUUUAAUUCGACGCAACGCGAAGAACCUUACCAGGACUUGACAUCCCCUGCUAGCUACAGAGAUGUAGUGUUUGAUCCUUCGGGAUUGACAGGGAGACAGGUGGUGCAUGGUUGUCGUCAGCUCGUGUCGUGAGAUGUUGGGUUAAGUCCCGCAACGAGCGCAACCCUUAUUCUUAGUUGCCAGCAUUUCGGAUGGGCACUCUAAGGAGACUGCCGGUGACAAACCGGAGGAAGGUGGGGAUGACGUCAAAUCAUCAUGCCCUUUAUGUCCUGGGCUACACACGUGCUACAAUGGCCUGUACAGAGGGUAGCGAAGCUGCGAAGCGGAGCCAAUCCCAAAAAGCAGGUCCCAGUUCGGAUUGUAGGCUGCAACUCGCCUGCAUGAAGUAGGAAUCGCUAGUAAUCGUGGAUCAGCAUGCCACGGUGAAUACGUUCCCGGGCCUUGUACACACCGCCCGU
Molecule: ribosomal RNA, 500 nt
Filed under: uncultured bacterium
Lineage: Bacteria
Description: bacterial SSU rRNA
Rfam family: Bacterial small subunit ribosomal RNA
Source: RNAcentral